GUUAGGAAUAUUGGACAAUGGGCGCAAGCCUGAUCCAGCCAUGCCGCGUGCAGGAAGACGCAUCUAUGGUGUGUAAACUGCUUUUGUACUGGAAGAAACACUCCCUCGUGAGGGAGCUUGACGGUACCGUAAGAAUAAGGAUCGGCUAACUCCGUGCCAGCAGCCGCGGUAAUACGGAGGAUCCAAGCGUUAUCCGGAAUCAUUGGGUUUAAAGGGUCCGUAGGCGGUUUAAUAAGUCAGUGGUGAAAGCCCAUCGCUCAACGAUGGAACGGCCAUUGAUACUGUUAGACUUGAAUUACAAGGAAGUAACUAGAAUAUGUAGUGUAGCGGUGAAAUGCUUAGAUAUUACAUGGAAUACCAAUUGCGAAGGCAGGUUACUACUUGUGGAUUGACGCUGAUGGACGAAAGCGUGGGGAGCGAACAGGAUUAGAAACCCUAGUAGUCC
This 445-nucleotide ribosomal RNA is filed under the name uncultured bacterium. RNAcentral's name for it is "partial 16S ribosomal RNA". It matches the Rfam family "Bacterial small subunit ribosomal RNA", at positions 354 to 796 of the family's 1533-position model. The record is from RNAcentral.